GUGUGCUCUGAACAGAGAGAUGGUUGCCACCUCUUCUCACAAGGACUGGAACGGCCUUCAGAUUUUCUUGUUACCAAACAUCCAGUCGGGGCUACCCACUUGAGUUGGGUGGAUCACGAUACAUC
Molecule: small nuclear RNA, 125 nt
Organism: Neltuma alba
Lineage: Eukaryota; Viridiplantae; Streptophyta; Magnoliopsida; Fabales; Fabaceae
Source: RefSeq, a predicted model, not a curated record